RNAcentral lists this long non-coding RNA (1598 nucleotides) under Pogona vitticeps (central bearded dragon). Its description in RNAcentral is "lncRNA (ENSPVIG00000020195.1)". Lineage: Eukaryota; Metazoa; Chordata; Lepidosauria; Squamata; Agamidae. The record is from RNAcentral.
UGAUCUGUACCUAUUGAUGCUCUGUGCUGAUUCUGUUUUGCUUGUUGUGUGUCCAUACAGGCACACUGUUGACAAACUAAGAUCAAGCCAACCAAAACAUUUUUGAAUAAAACAGGGACAGCUCCUUGCUGAGAAAAUACACUUGCUGUAGUGACCAAGCCCAGAGAGAGCAGAGAAGUGUGGGAGGAGGCUGACGAUGGCAUUUCAUGCCCUUACAAAUCAGAAAGCCCCAGAGUGUCAUUGCACUAGGACUCGUUACACCACCGGUUGCUAACUGGGAAAGGGACAGGCCUCCCUCCCCUGUUCUGGUCCCUUUAAAAGCAGAAUGGGCCAGCAGCCUUCCACAGGUGAGACUUUUCAUAGCUAAACAGGAUCAGCUGCUUGAUGGCUGCAGCUGUUCCAGGACUGCUGAAGCCUGAAAGGGGCAAACUGUGGAUCCCUUGCAGGGCCCUGGAAUCACAGGGCAAAGCUCUCCCCUCAAGAAUUAUGGCAGGAGAAGAGUGACCGCUGCGAAGGAAACGAAAGGAAAGAAGGAAAAGAAGCGCCCGCCCGCAAUCCCGAAAUUUGUUCACCCGGGAGAAGGAAAGAGACCUGCCACGUAACUCCAGCAAACACAUUUUUCCCCCGGCACAGGAGAAGUUCAAGGCCGGGAAGGCAAUCCGGGUUUCUUCCUCCUCCCGGCGGCGAUCGCUCCUCUCCAGGCUCCAAACGGGAUUCCGCGCCAAGCGGACGGAGGCGCCCCGACCGGAGCGCAAGCGGAGGCAAGACCUGCAGGUCCGCGGAGGCGCAACACCCUCCCCUCCGGCCCCGUCUUGCGGAUCCUCCCCGGGGGGGCCCUCCUUCCUUCGCCCACCGGCCCACCCAUCCCCACCGGCGCGCGCUGGGGGGGGCGCGUCUCUCUGCUUCCCCAGGGAGGGUCCAAGGCAGCGUCAUCGGGGCCGCUCCCUCGCAUAAAGCCACCCCGCCGACCGGCCGCCGCGCCCGUCCGUCCCGCUCCAGUCGCCCGAAGGACGGACAGGCAAGCGCCCCGUGGCGCCCCCCUGCGGAAGAUGCUGCUGGGAAGGCGGCGCGUCUUCUCGGUGGAGCCGCUUUGGAACCGAGGAGGCUGAGCGUUACAUUACAGGAGGCAGACGACCCUCCACCCAUCAUCCCCAGCCACCAGAAAGUCCUCCUUGAGGAAGGUGGGGAUGGGCUUUUCGUUGACCUCAAGGGAAUGAUACCUGGUGAAGGACGGCUUGGCCAGCAGAACUGCACAGGAGGGGGUCAACUUCCCACACAGGCCGGCAUCUUUCACGUCACCUAGCCCACAAAGCGGUUAAGAUAAAACAGGACAGAUCCUUGGACCCUAUUUCAUACCUGAAUUCCUUGGAGGAACGGCGGAGUGGAGUCAUGUAUGUUGAACCUCUUGCAACCUCCAUAACCAGGAGCACAAGAAACCUGCACAAGGCAUACAUUUAUAUCUUGCAUUUCUGUUGUUCAUACUGAAGGGUGCUAACUCUCCUUAAAAGUUCUAUUUAAAAAACAAAGGUAUCUGAAACAAACAAACAUCCAAGCCACUCGCUAAUAAAAAUCUCAUAAUAAAACCGGAAAGCUUUGUU